RNAcentral lists this long non-coding RNA (1057 nucleotides) under Chinchilla lanigera (long-tailed chinchilla). Its description in RNAcentral is "lncRNA (ENSCLAG00000022741.1)". The record is from RNAcentral. Lineage: Eukaryota; Metazoa; Chordata; Mammalia; Rodentia; Chinchillidae.
AUGUCUAUGAUCAAGCCAAGCUCUAUAGCCAUUAAUUCAGAGAUGACAGCCCUGUUCCUUUCCACUCAUACCCAUAUCACAUGUAUAUGUCCAUGCAAAUGCCCAAAUUCAGGCAUUUCUCAGCAUAGGUUUAACAGGCAGGCCAUUCUGGAAGUUGUCCUUAGCAGGUACACUUUUCCCUGCCCUUGCAAAAACCUUAACAUCUGCUUCAUUUCUCUCAGAAUUCUAAACUGUAUGGAAAUUGUGACUUAAACAGUCUAAUUGUGAGUAGAGGGGUCACCUAAAUAAUUAAAAUUAGAAAUUUCUUUUGCAUUGCUCUGUACGGAACACUGGAGUUCACUGGGUGUUUGGCAAGUACUGCACCACUGAGGCACAUCACCACACUUCUGUAAAAUCUAAGGACCUACGUCAGCACCUAUCAUGAGUUUGGAAAUAUGAGACAUACUGGAAAUAUAGGAGAUCACUACAAAUAAAAAAGAAGUUUGAGGAGAGGUGUAGUACAAAAACUAUGACAUUUAUAAGUUUCUGAUCCCCCAGAUCUGCUGCAGGCAGGAAAGAGAGCAGUGACCUAGAUCACUACAGUUGCACCCUGCUCCAAAACACAUCUGAGUCCGGGUCUCCCCAGAUCCCUUCCUCUGCACUGAUUGGUGGAAGUCGGACAGCAGCAGGAGGUUUACCAGAUGGCAUUGCGGACUAGCGGUGUCAGGGAGGAGACAGGGAUCUUUGGACACAGAACUAGCCUUGCCCCAGCAAGGGGCAAGUGAGACAGAGGAUGACUCACUGUCAGUCCAGGAGGACCUCAGAGUCUGACGGUAAACACAGAGGCUCAAACCCCCAUAGCUGCUUUUGACCACUUAUAAUUGUUCCCACCCGGGUUCCUCCCAAUUUCAGGGCUCCAAUCCCACAACAUCACCAUUGCCUGGCUUGAGGGUCUCCCAGGUUCUUUCCCAUGGAGGUCACAGUCAAUAGGAGCCACAAAACACGGUCUAGCAAGCAUUCUGCUGUCAGUAUUGUGCUCACAACACGCAAUUUACGCCAUGACACCGGAAGAGACCGC